GCGCUGGCUUCAGCAGCACAUGUGCUAAAAUUGGAAGGAUACAGAGAUUAGCUUGGCCCCUACGCAAGGAUGACACGCAAAAUUGUGAAUCGUUCCACAUUCUU
Molecule: small nuclear RNA, 104 nt
Filed under: Sus scrofa (pig)
Lineage: Eukaryota; Metazoa; Chordata; Mammalia; Artiodactyla; Suidae
Source: RNAcentral